RNAcentral lists this ribosomal RNA (305 nucleotides) under uncultured bacterium. Its description in RNAcentral is "bacterial SSU rRNA". It matches the Rfam family "Bacterial small subunit ribosomal RNA", at positions 333 to 635 of the family's 1533-position model. The record is from RNAcentral.
UAAUCCCUACGGAAGGCAGCAGUGAGGAAUAUUGGUCAAUGGGCGGAAGCCUGAACUAGCCACGUCGCGUGAGGGAAUAAGGCCCUACGGGUCGUAAACCUCUUUUGCCGGGGAGCAAGGGCCGGGACGCGUCCCGGCCCGGAGAGUACCCGGAGAAAAAGCAUCGGCUAACUCCGUGCCAGCAGCCGCGGUAAUACGGAGGAUGCGAGCGUUAUCCGGAUUUAUUGGGUUUAAAGGGUGCGUAGGCGGGCUUUUAAGUCAGCGGUAAAAAUUCGGGGCUCAACCCCGUCCGGCCGUUGAAACUG